UUGGGGGUUUGGGUAACCCUCGGCAUGGUGGUACAUGGAGGGACAACCAGGCACAUCUGGGACACAAACAGAAAGAGCCACAGCUAUCCGUCAAGUGCAUCACCGAGAAAAGCAAGUGGAUAACAACUGAAAUGCACAGCCCUUUGACUGUGGCUCUCACUGGAGUGACUCACUCCGGGGGAAUGCAGCUGCAGAACUGCGGUUGCGAUAAGAUGCCACUGGGGAAAAUCAAGCCCUCCAUUCCGGGGCAGCAACUUUGGAUCAUAGUGUAAAUGAUAUGUCUGGCAACAACAGAGAGUGAUGGGUAGAUUAGGGUGUGAGCGAGAGCACCGGGGUUAAUUGUGCACCGAGUGGAAAGGCCGUUUGUGUCUUUCAAGUGACACAAGGCAGCAGUGACGAAACACUGCAAAGACUCUGUUUUCAAAAUGGAGUACAAAGUGGUGGCAUGUGUCCGUCUUUGUUUAUAGUGUCCGGCCUUUAUUUUCCAUUUGCUUAAAAACCCAGCCUCAUUGCUAUUUUUUCCAUUAAAAAGGAUGACGUUAAAGCUUCGGGACACAUUUUUUCCCCCCUCCCGUUUAAACAUCACGUUAACAGCCCACAUCAACAGCGACGCAUGAAGCCGGUGUCAUUUUUUUUUUUUUCUUUAAAGGUGCGUCAAUCUGGAGCCUUGAAUGUUAAUCACCCAGAUAAGCUGGUGUCACAACGUGGCCUACUUUGCCGUGUAUGGUGGCAUGUUAAAAAAACAAAAAACAAACAAACAAAAAACAAAACAUGUUCCACACGUCUAGAUGUGGGAGAACGAAGGGGAUUUUGUGGAACGUCAAGUCCCGUCACGCCUUUCGCGGCAUGUUCGCCUUGUUUUUGGCGCGCUCCGCUUUUGCGUCGUGAUCAGUGUUCACCUUUGUCAGAAAGGGUUGCCACGACACCACUAACUUGUGUAAUUAGUUUUUCCGUGUUUAAGGACCAGCUCACAGUGUGGGGUAAUGAAAUUUAAAUGCUAGCAAGAAAAAAAAAAAAAAAAAAAAGAUCAUGCUGUCAGUUUCACUUUACGUUUUAAGCAUUCUGCCAAGGCAUGCUCAGUAAAUCUUUAAUGGUGCAGACAACAUGAGAUGAGGUAAAACUAUUACUGGCUUAUUUCUGUGAUAUUUCACUUGCAGUUGGAUCAGUUCUGCUGCUGUGGUAGAAGUCUGGAAAAUAAGGUCUGGCUUAUUUGAUGAAAUGAUACAUUCUACUGUGUUGAAUGCUUAGUAGGUGAUGAUUUAACAAUAUAUUUCUGUGCCAUGAAAACUAAAAGCAGAGGUAUAAUACAGCGAUGGGGGUAUUAACACACUAAAAACUCUGGGAUAAAAAAGGUUUUUGUUUUUUAUAUUUUCCCAAACUAAGCAAUGUUAUGUACAUGGGCUCCAUAUGUAAGGCAGAUUGGAGUCACAACUGACUUCCUCUAUAGUACCCAUUUGUCUUGACAAGAAGGUAACAAAAAAAAAAAUGAAAUAAAAUAAAAAUGAAGAUGUAACUGUAUCGCAAGAUGUUCGCAUUGUUGACCCUACUGAUCACUUAUCAGGCCAGUUGAUCAUUAUUUAAAUAUAAAUAUUCGUAAAUCAUCUGAUUCAAUCAGGUUUGGGGUAGGGAUGAAACUUUUAACCAGGACUUUCUGUUAAAUUAGCGCUGAAUAAUGAAACUUUUGUGACACUGGACGCCGAAGUUUGUUAAAUCUUCACCACAUUCAAAUCUCUCCACAUAGCAGUUAUCCACAAAAAAAAAACAAAAAAAAAACAUCUUCCUAUAAUUUCCUCUUCCCUCUGUCUUGAGACUGUGAACGUUUGUCUCAGAUGUGGUGAUUUCAGCACAGCAGGAACACUUUUUUUUUUAACUUCACGAUUCAGCUCAUGUCAGUGCGGGCAAUCUGCACCGAAAGGUUCCCAGUCAGCUAAGGAGAAUCUUGAACGCAGGUGAACGAGGACAGAAUGUGUGCCAAGUGUUGGAUUUCUCAGGGAGAAGCGAGCCGAUGAGCUCCCUGCCUGUGCAGCUCGUCGUUAAAGCGCCUGAGCCGGCUACCCCACCCCGUCCACCGCCCGCCCCACCUUCAGCAUUGCCCUCCUUCCACACACACACACACACACACACCCUCUCCUGCAGGCCAGCCAGUGAGAGGUUUGAGUUACCGCCGGCACACUCAUUUUUCCAUUAUGAGUUCAUCUGCCUGCAGAAAAAGGAAGCCACUGCUGCAACCUGAAACCCUGGAGCACUCCGCGAGGGACUCUAGUCUUUCCAGUGCCCUCCAUUUUCUCAAUGAAAUUCCUCUGCCUCUCUCUCUCACAGAGGGCGGAGAAAAGCUGCGGCCAAAAGAAGAAACUAAACUUUUUUUUUUUCUUUCCUUUUUUCUUCUUGCUGCAGAGUGUCAGAGAGUUGAAAGGAGGAGUCUCGGAGGCUGAGAGGCAGUCGGCAUUCAUGGGGAAAAGUUUGUUUUCCUCUUGUACAUUUUGUUCUCUAGUUAGCCACGCUCACCAGAGACCUUUCAUCUCAAUGCAAAAAUAAACUUGGAAAAAGUGGCCAAAAUAUGGACUUACUCCACAAGAACAUUCUUGUAUUCACCAAUAUUGAUUGAUUUUAUAGGGUCCACAUUUAAUUUUUUUCUUUAUUUAAG
Poecilia latipinna (sailfin molly) is the source of this 2644-nucleotide long non-coding RNA. RefSeq lists it as uncharacterized. Lineage: Eukaryota; Metazoa; Chordata; Actinopteri; Cyprinodontiformes; Poeciliidae. The record is from RefSeq and is a predicted model, not a curated record. The transcript has 2 exons.